This 253-nucleotide ribosomal RNA is filed under the name uncultured bacterium. RNAcentral's name for it is "partial 16S ribosomal RNA". It matches the Rfam family "Bacterial small subunit ribosomal RNA", at positions 524 to 776 of the family's 1533-position model. The record is from RNAcentral.
UACGAAGGGGGCUAGCGUUGCUCGGAAUUACUGGGCGUAAAGGGCGCGUAGGCGGACAGUUUAGUCGGGGGUGAAAGCCCGGGGCUCAACCUCGGAAUUGCCUUCGAUACUGGCUGUCUUGAGUGCGGGAGAGGUGUGUGGAACUCCGAGUGUAGAGGUGAAAUUCGUAGAUAUUCGGAAGAACACCAGUGGCGAAGGCGACACACUGGCCCGUUACUGACGCUGAGGCGCGAAAGCGUGGGGAGCAAACAGG